Molecule: long non-coding RNA, 366 nt
Filed under: Musa acuminata (dwarf banana)
Lineage: Eukaryota; Viridiplantae; Streptophyta; Magnoliopsida; Zingiberales; Musaceae
Description: long non-coding RNA (MACU_LNC008158)
Source: RNAcentral
UUCAGUGUCCUCAAAUGUUAGUUUGGAUCCUGGAUUAGUUUGUGAUGAAAAUUUUUAAUAUCAUGGAUAUUUUGAUGGGCGUGACAGAGGUGGUAUCAGAGCAUUGUUUGAGGAUUACUGAAAUAUUUGAUAUGUUGACGUGCAAAAUAUAUUGAGGUCUAGUGAACUAUAGUGAUUGGUGGAAAUUUUCUUUGAUGUAUUUUAGCAAUCAAGGAUGAUGAGGUAAUUUGGUCCUCCUAUUUCAAUUGUUUCUGAUUAAUUAAGUGGGAUGAAAGGUUUGAUCGAGGAUAUCAAAUCAGAGUAGCGAAAUGAAAGCAUGGUGGACCUAAUUUCAUUGGUAGUAGAAAAAUGGAUGAUGCAAACGGA